This 5352-nucleotide long non-coding RNA is filed under the name Triticum aestivum (bread wheat). RNAcentral describes it as "long non-coding RNA (TAES_LNC022818)". Lineage: Eukaryota; Viridiplantae; Streptophyta; Magnoliopsida; Poales; Poaceae. The record is from RNAcentral.
UAGCUCCCACCACUUCUGCCCUCGCGCCGCUCCUUCUCUCUCACACUCUGGAUCGAGCUAGCCCACGCACACCGGAGCGCGCCACCGUGAACCACCGCAGCCACCGCCCACCUCUCGCUAUGCUGAUUCGACCAGGAGACUUGUCGUCGUCCGCUUCGUCUUCCUCGCCCACGAGCUCAAGCCCGGAGCCAUCACAUCGACCGGGUGGAGGCCAUCUUCUUCCUCGGUCGUCGUCGUUGUUCUUCGUUGAUCCGUCGCCUCUGCAGCUCCUAAGCCACCAACGGGCCUUCGUGUGCCUCCGCGGUGAGCACCGCACCAUCCCCUUGUUGGGAAUAAGCCGAGGCGAGUCCAGGGACGCGGCGAGCGUGUGCGUGCGCGCGGUGGGCACAUCGGGUUUAGCUCGCGGCAGGGCUCGGGUGCGUGCGUGCGCGACCGAGCGUAGGUGUGUGUGUGUGCGUGGGCUCACGGGUGUGUGCGCGGGGCCAUGCGGUGCUGUUAGUGAGUUUAGGGGAGGUGUGGACUGCGUCGGGCGCGCGGGGUGGCCGUGGCGAUCGCGUUCGGGCACGAUGCGCGGGUGCGGCCAAAGCACGCGGGACGUGGGGGAGUGGGCAUGCGAGUUGGUGCGGGGCGUGGCCUGGCAGGCCGGUGCUCGCGGGUAUAAAGCCCUGGAUCCUCCCUGUAUCUUGUUGACACGGUCAAGUUCGUCCUCGAGGAAAGGAAAAGGCGUACGUGCGCCGGAAAACCCACAGUGUCCACCGUGUUCUCUGAAUUUUCUGAACUUCCGAUCAUCUUCUUCCUCCAGCUCCUGUCGUUCGUGCGCAGGGAGGGCGAGGUGAGGGAGAACUAGGGCUAGCUAGGGUUCGGGGGAGAGGCCACGAUGCCAACAUUUGGUAUCAGAGCAAUAGGUGACGGAGCUCGCCGGCGGAGAUGGCGCUGGUUCCACAUGGCGGCGGCACGGGCGGGUCGGUGUCCAUGGGGAUGCCGAUGCUCUCGCCGGACGGCUACACCGUGUGGGCGAUCAAGGAGCAGGCCAUCCUUGAUGCUCACGCGCUGUGGGAAGCGGUGGCGCCGGGCGACUCGCCGGUGAACAGCAAGAAGUGCAAGACGGCGCGAGCUCUGCUCUUGCAGGGGCUGCCGGAGGACGUGUUGCUCGCAGUGGCGACGAAACCCACUGCCAGGGAGGUAUGGGACUCCCUGUCGGUACGGUUCAUCGGCGCCGAGCGGGUGCGCACAGCGCGGAGGGCGACGUUGCGCAGCGAGCUUGAUCGGAUCAAGAUGGAGGACGGCGAGGCGCUGGACGCGUACGCUGGGAGGCUCGCGGGCAUGGCGGCGCGGUUCGCGGGGCUGGGGGAGACGCUGGCGGACACGGAGCUGGUGAAGAAGCUCCUGGACACAGUCCCGGACCGUCUCUUCCCGGUGGUCGCCGGAAUUGAGCAGUUCUGCAAGCUUGAGGAGAUCACCUACGACGAGGUGCUCGGGCGGCUGCGCGCGUUCGAUGAGCGUGUGCGGCACCGCGGGCAGAGCAGUGGCGAGUGCCAGGACGACCAGCUCUUGUACACUGCGGCGCAGUGGCGCGCGCGAGAGCGGCGUCAGGGCAAGGCUCGGGACGACGACGACGAUGCCGGCAGCGUGGCGACGUGGGAUGGCGGCAACAAGAAGGGCCGCUCCUACAUGUGUGGCGAGCGCGGCCACUUCAAGCGGGACUGCCCGGAGCUGCGUAGGGCGCCGGCGGAGGAGCGGGCUUUGGUGGCGGACGUCGACGUUGAGGACAACGGUCUCCUCUGUGCCUCGGCUUAGGGGGAGAGUGUUGGGAAUAAGCCGAGGCGAGUCCAGGGACGCGGCGAGCGCGUGCGUGCGCGCGGUGGGCGCGUCGGGUUCAGCCCGCGGCAGGGGUGCGUGCGUGCGCGACCGAGCGUAGGUGUGUGUGUGUGCGUGGGCUCACGGGUGUGUGCGCGGGGCCACGCGGUGCUGUUAGCGAGUUUAGGGGAGGUGUGGACCGCGCCGGGCGCGCGGGGUGGCCGUGGCGAUCGCGUUCGGGCGCGAUGCGCAGGCGCGGCCAGAGCGCGCGGGACGUGGGGGAGUGGGCAUGCGAGUUGGUGCGGGGCGUGGCCUGGCAGGCCGGUGCUCGCGGGUAUAAAGCCCUGGAUCCUCCCUGUAUCUUGUUGACACGGUCGAGUUCGUGCUCGAGGAAAGGAAAAGGCGUACGUGCGUCGGAAAAACCACAGUGUCCAUCGUGUUCUCUGAAUUUUCUGAACUUCCGAUCAUCUUCUUCCUCCAGCUCCUGUCGUUCGUGCGCAGGAAGGGCGAGGUGAGGGAGAACUAGGACUAGCUAGGGUUCGGGGGAGAGGCCACGGUGCCAACACCCCUCCUAGUUUCCCCCUCGAAUCCGUGCUCCAUGCUGCCGUCGCCAUCGUUGCCGUAGCUCGGCGCCGUAGCUAGGGCCAUUCCUGUGCCCCUCCGAACACAACAUCGUGCUCGGCGCAUCGCGAGGACGCCUUAGAACCCUCCCGCUCGCCCGCGGACCUUGCUUGCCGCCCCCUGGCUGCGAACCCCCUGCCUCACCCGGCACUCACCCGUGACAGCGCCAGCCGCUGCUGCUUUCUCCUUGCCGCUGCGCUGCUGCUUUGCGUUCAGCACUUCUGUUUGUGUUGUUGCUCUUUUGCCUGCUGCGGCCGCCGUUGCCCCUGUUCGCCGCAGCCGUUCGCGCCCAACGACGCCGGCGGCGCUCGCUGGGACCGCCUGCCUUCGCCACCGGCCCCGCAGCACGCGCACGCCGUGCAGCGCCGUGCCCCGCGCCCCGCGCCCAGCUCGUGUGCAUGCAUUUGCCGCUCUACUGAAAGUGCUGUUGCUGCUGAAUGUUACUGUAGCUAUAUGCUUAGCUUUAGGAUUUUUACACUGAGUAACCCCCUAAACAGCCCCUAAUCAGCGGUUAAACAGUUGUUAAUAUGUCUAAAAAAAUAUAUGGGAUGGUAGUACACUUGACAAGGCUCAAAUGUGAUCAUUGGACCAAAUCCAUUUGAUGCAUUGUUUAAACCAUAUGAAAAUCACAAAUUGCUAUCUUCUGCUAAGAGAAAACUCUCCCUGUGUUGUGUGUUGUGUGUGUGCCGUGCGUGUGGCCGGCUGGGUUCUGCCAAGUAGUGGCCGGCCCUUGUUAGUACUAGGUUUAGCUAGUAGUAUUAAUUACUUCUAAGUUAGUCUAGUAGUAGAUAACGUGUAGGCCCCAUUAAAUAAGUUAGGUUUAUUUAUUUGUUUAGGUAAAGAAUAUCUGACAUGUGGGCCACACCUGCCCUUUUGACUAGUCAAAUUGACUUGGUCAACUCGAAUUAAAAGUAAAUUAGAAAAUCUUUUAAAUCUUUGAAAAAUCUUAGAAAAUAAUCUGUAGCUCGGAUGAAAAUACUUUGUACAUGAAAGUUGUUCAGAACGACGAGACGAAUUCGGAUACGUAGUCCGUUCGUCUGUCACGCGUCCCUAGCAUAGCAAACCUGCAAACAUCCCCCUCUGUUUCAUCUGUUUGAAAAUGCCAAACUUUCGGAAAGCAUUCCCGGAUGUUUUCCCCCUUCGCCGGUAUCGUGUAGCAUUGCGUUAGUUCACCCCUAGCGCUGCUUAUUGUUUUGUCAUGCAUAGUAUUGCACUUGUUUGCUCUGUAUUUAUUGUUUCUUCCCCCUCUUCUCUUAGGUAGACCUCGAGACCGUUGCUGAUGCCACUGUGAUCGACUACGUCACCGACGACCCUUCUUGUCUGAGCAACCAGGCAAGCCCCCCCUUUGAUCAUCCCGAUAUCGCCCAUUCUAUACUCUCAUGCUUGCAUUAGAUUUUGCUACUGUUAUUGUUUGCUCCUAUUCUGAUGCAUAGCCUGCUUUUGUACCUGCUUAUUGUUACCUACAUGUUUAUCCUAAACUGCUUAGUAUAGGUUGGCUAGUGAUCCAUCAGUGACCCCCACUUGUCCUUGUUGCCCCUGCUUCAUCAUCGAUGGCUCGAUCAACGUGAUCGACGACCAGAGCCCGACACCUCACAUCACAUCACGCCCCUUUAGUUGCUCGACUCUACAGAGCUACUAUCGAGUGCCGAGGGUGAUCCCUCAUAACGCACUCCUGAUGAUAAUUCUGUAGUGUAGCUAUUCGGUCGUGGUCAUCGAGGGUGAUUUUCUCUUUCACCAUUCCCGAUACGGCUCUGUCGUUCAACACCUCAAGUGUGAACCUCGAGGGUGGUCCCUCUUACGUUCACCUUGAUGAUUACAUUGAGUGGAAUCCACCAGGGGUGAUUCCUCGGGUUUUCCCCUUGAUGUCUGGACACACAGUUACAAUGACUUUACUUGAGACCUUGGUAAAAGCCGGGCGGGCCCGGAGAGCACCCAUAAGAUGGUUACGUGGCACGGCCGGGCAUUAUGAGCCCUUGUCGUAAGUCCACGAGACGAGGUGAUGGGGUCACUUUAGAUCGUGAGUCUCUGCUCGUCUCCGCAAGCUAAUAAUACACUAUGGUUUUGGUAUUUGUUCUGAGUUGGCCUUUGGCCUUUACGCACUAACCACCACGCGAGAAUAGUUAUGGGCCUCGACGUCGUGGUAUCAGCCGAAGCUUUGUCAGACGUCCAGUUCAGCAUUGUGGCAUGGUCGGAUCGUGCUGGCCAUCCGAGGCGGUGCUGGUAUCCACCCUGCACACAACGAUCCGGAGUGCAACGGGCGAUGGGCCCAGACCCCGGAGUGCUUAGGAUGUAGACCGGCGGGGACCUCUCUGCUGAGCCUAGGUCGGGCUGCGACAUGUUGAUCUUCCGAGGGCGGGCAUUGACCCCAGAAAGGUGUGUCCGGCCAGAGUGAUCGAGCGUGUUGGGUAACGUGGUGCAUCCCUGCAAGGAAGUUAUAUAUUCGAAUACCGUGUCCACGGUAAUGGACGUUCGGACUUAUAUCCUGAUCUUAUACAACUACAAAUGGAUACUUGAGAUAUGUGGCUCCGGGAUUGCUUUCUCGCAGGGAGUCGAGGAAGGAUCUCUGGGCAUUAAAGUUACAACAUGCUUGUUAAUUAUAAACUGCUAUUCUUUACUCUUCUACAUGCUGCAAGAUGCUCGGAGCUGCGUGAAGAUGCUAGUCUUCGAUAGGCUAGGCUUUCCCCCUCUAUUCUGGCAUUCUACAGUUCAGUCCACAGAUACAACCCUUCCAUUUGAUAUAAAUGCAUACUUAGUAUAGAUCUGAUGCUUGCGAGUACUUUGGAUGAGUACUCACGGUUGCUUUGCUACCCCUUUUCCCCCUUCUUUCUUCUUUCCGGUUGAUGCAAUCAGAUGGUGGAUCCUUGGAGCCAGAUGCCACCGCCGACGGAUACUACUACAUGGAGGCCGACGAAGACCAGGAGUAGUUAGGAGGUC